GACGAACGCUGGCGGCGUGCUUAAUACAUGCAAGUCGAGCGGACGGGCCCUGCUUUUGCGUGGUUCUCGUUUGGCGAACGGGUGUGUAACACGUGUGUAUCCCGCCCCUGACUUUGUGAUAACUCUAGGAAACUGGGGCGAUAACCCCGUAUGAGCUUUUGAUCCACGUUGUGGGUUGGUAAGAUUCGGCGGUUGGGGCUGUUCUCGCUGCUUAUCCGCUUGUUUGUGUGGUUGUUGCUUUCCAGGCCUAUGACGGAUAGCCGGCCUGGGAGGGUGACCGGCCACCUUGGGACUGCGAUACGGACCAGAAUCCUACGGGAGGCAGCGGUGGGGAGUAUUACACAAUGGCCGGAAGCCUGAUGCGGCAACGCCGCGUGCGGGAUGACGGCCUACGGGUUGAGAACCGCUUUCGAAUGUGACGAAGCGUGCGUGACGGUAAUGGGUAAAGAAGCACCGGCUAACUACGUG
Molecule: ribosomal RNA, 468 nt
Filed under: uncultured bacterium
Lineage: Bacteria
Description: partial 16S ribosomal RNA
Rfam family: Bacterial small subunit ribosomal RNA
Source: RNAcentral